GUGGGGAAUAUUGGACAAUGGGCGAAACCCUGAUCCAGCCAUGCCGCGUGUGUGAAGAAGGUCUUCGGAUUGUAAAGCACUUUAAGUUGGGAGGAAGGGUAGUAACCUAAUACGUUGCUACUUUGACGUUACCGACAGAAUAAGCACCGGCUAACUUCGUGCCAGCAGCCGCGGUAAUACGAAGGGUGCAAGCGUUAAUCGGAAUUACUGGGCGUAAAGCGCGCGUAGGUGGUUCAGUAAGUUGGAAGUGAAAUCCCCGGGCUCAACCUGGGAACUGCUUUCAAAACUGCUGAGCUAGAGUACGGUAGAGGGUGGUGGAAUUUCCUGUGUAGCGGUGAAAUGCGUAGAUAUAGGAAGGAACACCAGUGGCGAAGGCGACCACCUGGACUGAUACUGACACUGAGGUGCGAAAGCGUGGGGAGCAAACAGGAUUAGAUACCCCGGUAGUCC
RNAcentral lists this ribosomal RNA (450 nucleotides) under uncultured bacterium. RNAcentral describes it as "partial 16S ribosomal RNA". It matches the Rfam family "Bacterial small subunit ribosomal RNA", at positions 354 to 796 of the family's 1533-position model. The record is from RNAcentral.